Molecule: ribosomal RNA, 522 nt
Filed under: uncultured bacterium
Lineage: Bacteria
Description: partial 16S ribosomal RNA
Source: RNAcentral
GGAGUUAGCCGGUGCUUCUUCUGCGAGUAACGUCACAGAUGUAAGGUAUUAACUUACACCCUUUCCUCCUCGCUGAAAGUGCUUUACAACCCGAAGGCCUUCUUCACACACGCGGCAUGGCUGCAUCAGGGUUUCCCCCAUUGUGCAAUAUUCCCCACUGCUGCCUCCCGUAGGAGUCUGGGCCGUGUCUCAGUCCCAGUGUGGCUGAUCAUCCUCUCAGACCAGCUAGGGAUCGUCGCCUAGGUGAGCCUUUACCUCACCUACUAGCUAAUCCCACCUGGGCUUAUCCAUCAGCGCAAGGCCCGAAGGUCCCCUGCUUUCCCCCGUAGGGCGUAUGCGGUAUUAGCAGUCGUUUCCAACUGUUAUCCCCCACAAAUGGGCAAAUUCCCAGGCAUUACUCACCCGUCCGCCGCUCGUCAUCUUACAAAGACAAGCUUUAGUAAAUAGUUACCGUCUCGUACUUGCAUGUGUUAGGUCCUCGCCGCCACGCGUUCAAUACUGAGCCAUGAUACAAACUACUGA